GGGACGAGGGUAACGGUGGAGGCAGGCUGAGGACCUGCGGGUGCUGAUCCUUGGGGAUGGAGUGUGGGGACGAGGUGGGGGGCCGGGCCUGGCGGUGUGCAGUUGCGGGGAACACGGUCCCGCAGUGAGUGGGUCGUGGGGGUGGGGUAGGGGCACGCAGGGCGGGGGUUACAUAAAUGUUCCCUGGCGCCCUGCGAGGCAGCCGAAAGCGGUUGCCUCAUCUUAUCAGGGAACAGGGCGUCCCACACUCUUGCCCAAGCCGCAGGCCUGGGCGGGGACAGCGUGUUCUUUCUGAGAAGCCACAAGAGACCGGGCGGGAGCCCAGGGCUCUCCUCGCCCAACCCCCGCAACGGCGCCCCGCCCCGGGGCCCGUCUUGCGCAGGUGCAGCCGCGCUCACUAGUGCGCAUGCUCAGCUCGGAUGGGUCCAGAGACCGCCUCCCGUUUGCCCUCCAUCAAGGGCGUGUGCGCCCCGUGACCUCACUCGGCCCAUCCCACCUCGGCCAAACUUGCCAGGCUCCACAGAGUGAGGGAGGUGCUGGCUCCAAGACCGACUACGUCGUGGUUCUUUUCUGUGUGUGAGCCCCUGGUGGGCAGUCGAGGCAGUGGUGGUGCCCUGAGCCAGGACCAGCGCCGCGCCUGCAGACCAGGGCCCCUUCUGGGCAGUGAGUGCUGGGCUCUACCGGCCCCAGCUUCGGGGAGCCUGGGGAAGGGAGAAGGGAAGAGAAGUCUGACCUGGGGCCCCGGGACAGAAAAGCAGGUGGUCCAGGGGUGCCUAGAUCCACAACAGCACACCUCGGUGAGCACACGGCAUCUGUGCGGGAGACCAUUCGGCUUCUCUGCUGGUGUCUUACAAACCCACAUGGAGCUGACACUUGGAUGCCUGUGUCCUGGGGAGUCCAGGCUGGAAGCUCUUACCCACCAAUGUACAGGUGAGGGAGGUGAGGCCCAGGAGAAAGAACUGCCACCUGGUGGGAUCCCCCUUGCUCUGGGACUCAGCAGGCAGAAGCAGUGAUUUCUGCCUGGAAGCUGCCCCUGCAGAGGUCAGCACCUGCCCCUCUCCAGCACCUGCACUCCUGCUCAUUUGUCUGGGCUGCAUCUCACAGUAACUGUGAAGGUUUAGUGUGAGAACACACAUGUGUUCUGAGAAGAUAGGCGGUUAUCAUGGGCGGAGCUCCUGGGAGCGUCCCUGGCUAGACAACCAGCCAGUGCUCAUUUCUGCCGAAACUGCCUGGCCCUGCCUGGGGUGCUGCUCUCCUUCAGCAAUGCUGUGGUGCAUGCAUGUGGCUCAUCACACGCUCCUGUGCACUCUUGCACAUGCCAGGGCUGGCAGGACAUGAAGGGAGGUGGUACCUGGCUGGAGACUGCUACACAAAGCCUGGGGGCUCCAGUUAAACAAGCAAAUCUGCCUUCUGCA
Long non-coding RNA from Capra hircus (goat), 1415 nucleotides. RefSeq lists it as uncharacterized. The record is from RefSeq and is a predicted model, not a curated record. The transcript is spliced from 2 exons. NCBI's taxonomy places the organism in Eukaryota, Metazoa, Chordata, Mammalia, Artiodactyla, Bovidae.